This 640-nucleotide small RNA is filed under the name Pan troglodytes (chimpanzee). RNAcentral's name for it is "retained intron". The record is from RNAcentral. Lineage: Eukaryota; Metazoa; Chordata; Mammalia; Primates; Hominidae.
UGGGAAUGGUCUAUGCUCUUUUCAUUAUGUAAAUUCUAACGUUUGUUUUGUUCAGUAUUGGUAAAGGUUUUCAAGGUGUCAUGAAAAGAUGGGGAUUUAAAGGCCAGCCUGCUACGCAUGGUCAAACGAAAACCCACAGGAGACCUGGAGCUGUUGCAACUGGAUAUUGGCAGAGUCUGGCCUGGAACUAAAAUGCCUGGAAAAAUGGGAAACAUAUACAGGACAGAAUAUGGACUGAAAGUGUGGAGAAUAAACACAAAGCACAACAUAAUCUAUGUAAAUGGCUCUGUACCUGGACAUAAAAAUUGCUUAGUAAAGGUCAGAGAUUCUAAACUGCCUGCAUAUAAGGAUCUCGGUAAAAAUCUACCAUUCCCUACAUAUUUUCCUGAUGGAGAUGAAGAGGAACUGCCAGAAGAUUUGUAUGAUGAAAACGUGUGUCAGCCCGGUGCGCCUUCUAUUACAUUUGCCUAACAUCUUUGGACGUGGCAGAACCUUACAUAUUCUGUGAGCUUCGAUGAGCCAGAGUGAUAUCAUAACCACCAGAAAUCAUACUCUCCUUUCUUAGUCACAACAAAAUCACACAUGUCAUCUUUGUCAAGGGCAUAAAUAUAUCAUUCAUACCUCCAUUAAAUUUUGUUAG